CCUACGGGUGGCAGCAGUGAGGAAUAUUGGUCAAUGGACGCAAGUCUGAACCAGCCAUGCCGCGUGCAGGAUGACGGCUCUAUGAGUUGUAAACCGCUUUUGUACGAGGGUAAACCCCGAUACGUGUAUCGGGUUGAGAGUAUCUUACGAAUAAGGAUCGGCUAACUCCGUGCCAGCAGCCGCGGUAAUACGGAGGAUCCGAGCGUUAUCCGGCUGUAUUGGGUUUAAAGGGUGCGUAGGCGGUUUGAUAAGUUAGGGGUGAAAAGUCGGGGCUCAACCCCGAAACUGCCUCUAAUACUGUUGGACUAGAGAAGAGGUGAGGUAGGCGGAAUGUAUGGUGUAGCGGUGAAAUGCUUAGAGAUCAUACAGAACACCGAUUGCGAAGGCAGCUUGCCAAACUAUAUCUGACGUUGAGGCACGAAAGCGUGGGUAGCAAACAGGAUUAGAUACCCGAGUAGUC
RNAcentral lists this ribosomal RNA (460 nucleotides) under uncultured bacterium. RNAcentral's name for it is "partial 16S ribosomal RNA". It matches the Rfam family "Bacterial small subunit ribosomal RNA", at positions 338 to 795 of the family's 1533-position model. The record is from RNAcentral.